Molecule: RNA transcript, 1603 nt
Organism: Folsomia candida
Lineage: Eukaryota; Metazoa; Arthropoda; Collembola; Entomobryomorpha; Isotomidae
Exons: 6
Source: RefSeq, a predicted model, not a curated record
ACUUCCUUUUCAUCUCCAUCUCAGCUGUGUGUUGGCAUUGCGCUCAAUUGAAAAAGUCACUUUAGAGAUUUCACUACAAUUCAGAGUACACAGCAAUUAACCAAAACAACUUUUGUUAAAUUACUGUGAGACUUUCAAAAGGGCAGGAGGAGUGCUUUUUCAUUCAAAUACUCGUCGUAUCAUCAGUGAAGUUAGUAUCCGAUAUUGCCGUGACAGUGUUUUAACCUGACAGACGGAAUGGGGGACGUUGUGGAGGAAAUUAUUGCAGAACCUGAAGAUCCAGGGGUUCUAGCUACCACGUUUGCCUUUGUUCAUCACCUUGUUCGCAGUUAUGGAUGGUACUUGGUGUUGGGUUUGAUCGGUUCCUAUUACCUGUUGCGAAAUCGAUGGAGAGCUACUGCUGCCCUCGAACAGCCAAAAACUCCGCAAGAAAUCGAAGCGCUAAGGUCAAAAGAAGAGCAGAGACUAAAAUCUAUUCAGCGAUUGCAGAAAAAAUACGAAGAAGAUGCUGCCAUUAAGGCUGAGAAACAGAAAUUAUUAGAUGAGCAGAAACAACAAACCAGACUAGCAGAACUGGAGAAACUAACAAAGGAGGCAGAUGGUCAAAAGUUGGGCAACGGUGCUGCUCCCGGUACUUCCAAGAAGUCGUUACGACCUGGUCAGUCAUAAUCGCUCAUCAGCAAAUCGCGCUAUAUUCAUAUACCUUGCUAAAUGGACUAGAUUAUUCGAAAUUACGGGCUUAAAUAACAAUACAAUCCAUUAAUGGGUAAUUCUUCCAGUGAUCGCGUCUGCUUCCGUCGACCAGGGGGUUCUGGUGGAUGAGGUUAAGGUGCGACACAUUGCAAUGUGAAAUUGAUUUCCGAGCUGCGUCGGAGUUAAUUGAAUAAUGUGUCCCUUUAUUAUUUAAUCCCUUUCUAAAUUUCCGUGCCGUUGAUAUUAACUUAUUAUGUGAGUCCCACAUAUUUAAGGGCCCGGGGGAAGAUUUACUUUUCGAAAAUUGAUUUUAUGUUAGCAACAAUAAUUGCUAGGAAUCUAGGAUUAUUUAUCACUCUAUAAAGUUACGACCACAAUUAAUUGACACCAUUUCUAUGGUACACUCACGUCCAAAAGCUUUUGUUUGAUCACUUUUCCCUCAAGUUUUUGAAAAAAGUUGUUUUCUUUUGUUCCAUGGAUAUUCAAAAUGCAAUUCAUGCCAUCAGUUUUGUAAUUCUAAGCCAAUUUGUGCUCACUUUAUGACCAAAUAUCUCCACUGCGCAAGAGGGCACAUUGUCAAAAAAAAAGUUAGUAAAACCUAAAGAUAUGAUUAACAAAUUAAACAUAAUUUGAAAAAUGUGCCCUCUUGCGCAUUGCUGAAUUUUAUGGUCAAAGUUGACAUGAUUUCUAAGCAACUUCCCCCGGGCCCAAUUACCAUAUAAAAUCAAGCUAUAAGUUGUAGAAUUUCUUACACUAUUAUUAUGAUACCGUAUUUAAGUUUGACCUAUUCAUGUAAUUAAACCAAUUGUCGUCUUUCUGUGAAACACUCUGCGUAAAUGAGCUCACGUAUCAUGGCGGAGUGUGGAUUAUACUAAAUAAAGGCGAAUUUGUGUUCAUAUAUUGUCAAACA